AGAAGUGGUCCAGAAGAGAAGGCUAAGGAUGCAGAGUCUGGCAUAGCCGGCCCUACACUGAAAUGAUGGAAGCUCAUACAUCUUGGAACAACCUUGGCUACGAAUGUUCUAAAGCGUGUUGUCUUCAUUUUUUAAAAGGGCUUCACUCUGAGGAGAAUCUUUCACUUCCCUGGUCGGCAGGAUGGGCUUUGAAACAGUUGGGAAACCAAGAGAAGUUCACUGUCAGAAGUCUUACCUGUACACCGUUGUCUCAGUUCCUCUUCAUCGUAGUCAAUAAGUAGUUUCCUACUGUAAUGUACCCAAAGAAAGGCUAAUCAAUUUCC
This is a long non-coding RNA of Mus musculus (house mouse), 323 nucleotides long. RefSeq annotates it as predicted gene, 36002. NCBI's taxonomy places the organism in Eukaryota, Metazoa, Chordata, Mammalia, Rodentia, Muridae. The transcript has 3 exons. The record is from RefSeq and is marked validated.